GAUGAAGAACGUAGCGAAAUGCGAUAAGUAAUGUGAAUUGCAGAAUUCAGUGAAUCAUCGAAUCUUUGAACGCACCUUGCACCCUAUGGCAUUCUGAAGGGUAUGCUCGUUUGAGUGUCAUUGUACUCUCACACUCCCGAUCUUUGCAUUGGGAGCAGUGGACUUGGGUUUGCUGCUUCACCGUCGCUUACCUCAAAUAGGUUAGUGCAACUCUUGGUUGGACAUAGUACGGCGUGAUAAGUGUUCUUCGCCGGUGCCUCGCAAAGAGGGUGGCCGAUCGGGAUGUUGUGCUCCAAACCGUCUUCGGACAAUCUCUGACGACUUGACCUCAAAUCGAGUAAGACUACCCGCUGAACUUAAGCAUAUCAAUAAGCGGAGGA
This 380-nucleotide unclassified non-coding RNA is filed under the name soil metagenome. Its description in RNAcentral is "partial contains 5.8S ribosomal RNA, internal transcribed spacer 2, and large subunit ribosomal RNA". The stretch from base 1 to 120 matches the Rfam family "5.8S ribosomal RNA", at positions 35 to 154 of the family's 154-position model. The record is from RNAcentral.